This is a long non-coding RNA of Aricia agestis (brown argus), 77 nucleotides long. RefSeq lists it as uncharacterized. The record is from RefSeq and is a predicted model, not a curated record. NCBI's taxonomy places the organism in Eukaryota, Metazoa, Arthropoda, Insecta, Lepidoptera, Lycaenidae. The transcript has 3 exons.
ACCCAUGAUGGAGGGGUUAAUACGAGUAUGAGGCCUGCGGCCUUUAGUUUGUUUUGCCACCUUGUGGCCCUUGCCUG